AUUGAACGCUGGCGGCAGGCUUAACACAUGCAAGUCGAGCGAGCGGCGGACGGGUGAGAUAUGUGUGGGACACCCCCAUGUGGGGGGGGAAAACUAGGAGACACGGUAUAUUACACCGCAUACCCUCAGAUGUGCCGAGAUGGUAUUCGCUAGUAGGUGGGGUAAUGGCUCACCUAGGCGACGAGCCCUAGCUGGUCUGAGAGGAUGACCAGCAACACGGGAACGGAGACACGGUCCAGACUCCUACGGGAGGCAGCAGGGGGGAAUAUUGCACAAUGGGCGCAAGCCUGAUGCAGCCAUGCCGCGUGUGUGAAGAAGGCCUUCGGGUUGUAAAGCACUUUCAGCGAGGAGGCGUUACCCGCAGAAGAAGCACCGGCUAACUCCGUGCCAGCAGCCGCGGUAAUAC
Molecule: ribosomal RNA, 406 nt
Filed under: uncultured bacterium
Lineage: Bacteria
Description: partial 16S ribosomal RNA
Rfam family: Bacterial small subunit ribosomal RNA
Source: RNAcentral